Molecule: long non-coding RNA, 1691 nt
Organism: Bubalus bubalis (water buffalo)
Lineage: Eukaryota; Metazoa; Chordata; Mammalia; Artiodactyla; Bovidae
Exons: 4
Source: RefSeq, a predicted model, not a curated record
CAGAAGUAUUUUCCUAAUCCUCUCUCCUCCUGACCGCCCUCCCCCACCAUCCCCGCCCUGCAUGUGGGUCUCACUUCCAGAGGCAGCUGCCUCAUGUUCAGCUCCUGACACCUUCAGAAACUUUGCUAAUAAAUGCAGAUCUGGAAAGCAUUCGGCCCAGGGGGACCAAUUUCUUUUUCCAUCACCUGUGGCUUCUCAACGUGAAAUUAAAAGUCAGCAGCAAGUAAUUGCAGCUGGCGGCAGCUCCCAGAGUUCAGCGGCUGCCAGGGGACCUGGUCUGUGCCGCCUGCCCUCUGUCCCUCCCACUUCCCAUCCUGAGAUUGAGCAAACUACGCGACUUGGCUUUUUCACAAAAAUGAGACCGACGGUACUGUCAGCAAGAGGCUAGAGAUCUGAAUCUCACUGGUCUGAAGUCCAGCCUGGGUAUCAGGCUUUUCAACCGCCUGCCAGCUGAGGACCUGCCUCCUGAAGCGCUUGAUCGACGUCACUGUCUGGCACUGGAGGGUCACUUCAGCAAUUGUCACUGCAUCUCUGACUGCCCCAUCAUCUCAGGGCUAUCCUGAGACCAUGUGCAGACUGGCCGUUGUAAGCACUGGAACAGAGCACGAGGCCAGAGCAGCCUGGGCGGUGGGGCUGAGUGAGAGGGCGCCGGGAAACCGGGAUCCUUUGAACUGCAGGCUCUGUCAUCCUCAGCGUCACCGGACGGCCACCAGCGGCCAGACGUCGCUUCUGCAUUCAGGCAGGAAGAGCAGGAAGCGGCCAGGAGACAGGGCGGCGACUGCGUCUGGAAGCAGCCCUUCCCCGGCAGGCCAGACCCCUGCCUCGCGCACCUCACUGGUGAACCCGAUCACGCGCGGGGCCCCAGUGCGGGGCGGCGGGGGCGCGGGGCCAAGGCGGACGGGGAGGAGGCCCGGCUGCUCACUGACCCUGCCGGCUGCGCCUCUCCGCGGCCGCUCACUGCACAGUGGGGUCGCUCAGACCCUCAAGGGCACAACGGGGCUCCCUGUUCCUCCCCAUCUGGUGACACGGCUCCCUAGAGCCUAGGGCACCUCCCGAGGGACAACCCCCUGGUGCUUCUGUGAUCCAGUGAGGACGUGAGGCGGGAACAGCGUGAGGGUGAAAGGUCUGGUCUCAGGGAACCCUGACGCGCUCUCUUCCCUCCACCCGGUCUGCUACCGUCUCUCAGUUCGCUGCUCAGGUGGGACGUGCAUUCUCACCCUCCUUACCUCCACUGCCUCUGCCGGCCCUGGGGUCUCCCUCUCCGGGUCGGGGCGCUGGGGUCUCCCUCUCUGGGUCUGGGGUCUCCUCUCCGGGUCCAGGUGCUGGGGUCCCUCUCUGGGUCCGGGCUCUGGGGUCUCCUCCUCCGGUCCAGGCGCUAGGGUCCCUCUCAGGGUCUGGGGUCUGGGGUCUCCCUCUCCGGGUGCUGGGGUUUCCCUCUCCGGGUCCGGGCUCUGGGGUCUCCCUCUCCGGGUCCGGGCUCUGAGGUCUCCCUCUCUGGGUCCAGGCGCUGGGGUCCCGCUGGGCUGCUGUCUCGUCCUCACAGCCUCUGCCCUGCACCGCGGGUCUCCACGUGGAGGCUGUGGCCGGGGCACUGGGCAAACCUUAACAGCCCUUGAAAUGCUACCUAAUCAACAUGCUUUCUCCCCGCCUUUUGAAAACAAAAACGGAGCGAUUAUGGACAGGUGGGAAGA